AGUUUGAUCCUGGCUCAGGAUGAACGCUAGCUACAGGCUUAACACAUGCAAGUCGAGGGGCAGCAUCAUCAAAGCUUGCUUUGAUGGAUGGCGACCGGCGCACGGGUGAGUAACACGUAUCCAACCUGCCGACAACACUGGGAUAGCCUUUCGAAAGAAAGAUUAAUACCGGAUGGCAUAGUUUUCCCGCAUGGGAUGAUUAUUAAAGAAUUUCGGUUGUCGAUGGGGAUGCGUUCCAUUAGGCAGUUGGCGGGGUAACGGCCCACCAAACCUACGAUGGAUAGGGGUUCUGAGAGGAAGGUCCCCCACAUUGGAACUGAGACACGGUCCAAACUCCUACGGGAGGCAGCAGUGAGGAAUAUUGGUCAAUGGACGAGAGUCUGAACCAGCCAAGUAGCGUGAAGGAUGACUGCCCUAUGGGUUGUAAACUUCUUUUAUACGGGAAUAAAGUGAGCCACGUGUGGCUUUUUGUAUGUACCGUAUGAAUAAGGAUCGGCUAACUCCGUGCCAGCAGCCGCGGUAAUACGGAGGAUCCGAGCGUUAUCCGGAUUUAUUGGGUUUAAAGGGAGCGUAGGCGGGUUGUUAAGUCAGUUGUGAAAGUUUGCGGCUCAACCGUAAAAUUGCAGUUGAUACUGGCGACCUUGAGUGCAACAGAGGUAGGCGGAAUUCGUGGUGUAGCGGUGAAAUGCUUAGAUAUCACGAAGAACUCCGAUUGCGAAGGCAGCUUACUGGAUUGUAACUGACGCUGAUGCUCGAAAGUGUGGGUAUCAAACAGGAUUAGAUACCCUGGUAGUCCACACAGUAAACGAUGAAUACUCGCUGUUGGCGAUAUACAGUCAGCGGCCAAGCGAAAGCAUUAAGUAUUCCACCUGGGGAGUACGCCGGCAACGGUGAAACUCAAAGGAAUUGACGGGGGCCCGCACAAGCGGAGGAACAUGUGGUUUAAUUCGAUGAUACGCGAGGAACCUUACCCGGGCUUAAAUUGCAACUGACGGAACCGGAAACGGUUCUUUCUUCGGACAGUUGUGAAGGUGCUGCAUGGUUGUCGUCAGCUCGUGCCGUGAGGUGUCGGCUUAAGUGCCAUAACGAGCGCAACCCUUACGGGUAGUUACCAUCAGGUUAUGCUGGGGACUCUACCCG
This 1140-nucleotide ribosomal RNA is filed under the name uncultured Bacteroides sp. Its description in RNAcentral is "bacterial SSU rRNA". It matches the Rfam family "Bacterial small subunit ribosomal RNA", at positions 10 to 1146 of the family's 1533-position model. Lineage: Bacteria; Pseudomonadati; Bacteroidota; Bacteroidia; Bacteroidales; Bacteroidaceae. The record is from RNAcentral.